UGAGAAGUAUUUUAAUGAAAAAUAAGGGUUUUUGAUACCCUAGAUGUGAGGUCAAUUCUCACUUUCUCAG
RNAcentral lists this transfer RNA (70 nucleotides) under Phyllophorella liuwutiensis. RNAcentral describes it as "tRNA-Gln". It matches the Rfam family "tRNA". Rfam says of the family: Transfer RNA (tRNA) molecules are approximately 80 nucleotides in length. Their secondary structure includes four short double-helical elements and three loops (D, anti-codon, and T loops). The record is from RNAcentral. Lineage: Eukaryota; Metazoa; Echinodermata; Holothuroidea; Dendrochirotida; Phyllophoridae.